GAAAAAAUAAAAUCAUUAUUUAAUCAACAGUGAGCUAAUCUGGUAUGGCACAGGAAAGUUUUUGAAUAUUAACAAUAGGUUAAUUCUGUAAUUUAAAAUAGAUGACAAUGCUAUCGCAACCACCACCAUGUUUUUAACAUCUGUAUGCAUAAUUUUUCAAGGAAGAAAGAACCUUGAAGCAUCCCGUGGCCUUAAUCUCUUAGAAAUCCUAAGGGAUGCUUGAGCCAAUUAAUAAAGAGCCCCUUCACUUGAAGUAUUUGAAAGCCAACAUUUGUGGUGAACAGGCAACAUCAGCUAAUCACAUAUUAAGGAUGAUUCCUUUGUUCACUGUGUGAAAGUGGUUUGUAGCAGACAUUCUUAUAUUCCCAUACUCAAUAUUUAUUUUCUCAAAGCCAAACUAAUUCCAAGAGCUAAUGUGACCUUUCAAUAGUAUUUUUUGCCCAUCUCUUAGAAAACAAUUUAAGGGGUUUCACUAUAUUAGGGGGAUUUUCCAUUUUUUCCUACUCUUCAAAAGAUUUGUCUUUCAUCUUCUUUUUCUUUCUCUCCAGCUACAAAAUGUGCUCAUUACGGGCCUAUCUGCCAGCAACAAAAGGGAGGAGACUCCUAUUUCAGCAGAAUUCAGAGGUAUAUGACAUGAAGAAGUCUGACCCUGAUGUCAACAUAUCCAAGUCUCCUCCUACAGCCACCACUUAACUACCACUGUGACUGAUCACUUAAGUCUCCCAAGGCCUUCAUAUAUUUAGCUAAAAAAUGGGGAUAAUAAUAGUAAUUAUUUCACAGACCUUUUGUGAAGUUUGAAUAAAAUCAUGAAUGUAAAGCA
This 820-nucleotide long non-coding RNA is filed under the name Sus scrofa (pig). RNAcentral's name for it is "lncRNA (ENSSSCG00025062195.1)". Lineage: Eukaryota; Metazoa; Chordata; Mammalia; Artiodactyla; Suidae. The record is from RNAcentral.